CGAGGGGCUCCAUAGCCUCAGGGUGCUCCUGGAAGGCCAGUGAUCUCCGACGACGGCGCGCCAUUGUCGCCUUCUUCUUCUUCUGCAUUGCUGAGUGUCAACUGUAAGUACCGAUCCACCGUCGUCGUCGACAUGCCAGUUGUGGCUCCAUUGUUACCUUGGAGGAAUAAAACCAACGAACCUGGAGAUCUCACCCGCCAUUGUGAAUUGUGAGGCACCUGUAAAUAUAUGUUGGGAGCUUAAUUAGGGUGGUAAGGGAGUCAGUAGCGUGCAUCCAGGGGGCUUUGAGGCUCAUUAUGAGAUGAGAUGAGAUAUGUUGUUCCCCUGUUUAAGUUUUGUCUGUAAAAGAAACCAUUCUCUGGUUAUUGUGUUAUUGUAUCAGUGUAACUUGAGUUGUCUCAUGUGAUGAGCCAUCGCCUCGUUGAUCACUGAUAUGAUGAGAUGUGUUCUUCCCCCCGUUUAAGUCUUGUUGUAUUUGAUCAUUUGUUUAAUUGCCAUGUUUAAGUCUUGUUAUAUCUAUCAUCCUCUACUUGGAAUACACCAAGAAACUAUUUCCGCCUCAAAAUAAGUGUUGUGGUUUUAGUACAAUAGUGUGGUUUUAGUACGAUAGUGUUGUAUAAAAAAACAAGCAAGUGAAAUUAACGGAAACUAUAAUGUGUUGGAUAAUCAGCAACUGGUGUUCACUGAGGACCAAAGGCCAUUACGUAUACAUGUGUGGUUAAGUGUAGAAAGCCCCUUAUAUAAUGGGAUGUACAGAAAAGGGACUAUACAUAUCUAACACCCCCGUCAAACUCAUGGUGGAUCAACAACACUGGAUUUGGAGAGAAUAAAAUCAUGUUGCGCUCAAGUCUGUGCCUUCAUGUAGGAGUCUGCCAACUGUAACUCAGAGGGCACAUAGUGAAGAGCAAGAGUCUGAUCCUGCACAACAUCACGCAUAAAAUGGGCAUCCGCACCGAUGUGCUUGGUGAGCUCAUGCUUCACCGGGUCACAUGUAAUACUGAAAGCACCGGUACUGUCAGACAAUAAGGGAGUCGAGGUAGUAGCAGACACCCCAAAAUCCUCAAGUAACCACCGUAACCAGAUCACCAAAGCCGUUAACAUAGCCAUGACUCGCAACUCGGCCUCUAUACUAGAGCGAGAAACUGCAGUCUGUUUCUUUGUCUUUCAGGCAAUGAGAGAGCCACCAAAAAAGACACAGUAAGCAGAUAGCGAGCUCGAUCAGAGGGAUCACUAGCCCAGGUAGCAUCAGAGUAGGCCUGGAGCUCAAGGGAGCUGGAGCGGGGAAAGAAAAGGCGUUGAGGGAUCGUGCCAUGAAGAUAUCGUAGAACACGGAGGAGAUGACUAUAGUGGACAGAGGUGGGGGCUGAGACAAACUGACUCGGGAUGUGAACAUGAUAGGAGAUGUCAGGACGUGUAACAGUAAGAUAGACAAGGCUGCCAACGAGGUGACGAUAGCGAGUGGGAUUAGGAAGAGGGUCACCAUCAGAGGCACGAAGCUGAACGUUGAGCUCCAUAGGAGUCACAAUUGUGAGCUCAUCACCGAGAGCAGCGCGAGCAGGAAGAUCCGGAAUAUAUUUUUCUUGGGAGAUGUAGAAGCCAUCAGAGGUCGAGGAGAUCUCAAUCCCAAGAAAAUAGCGAAGUGGACCAAGAUUAGUCAUGAGGAACUGGUCACGAAGGCGGCCUUAACAAAGGCAAUGUAGUCAGAGUCGUCACCAGUGAUGAUCAUGUCAUCAACAUAGAGAAGGAGAAGAGUUUGACCACGAGGAGACAUGUGAACAAAUAACGCGGGAUCAUGAUCACUGGGCAAGAAACCAGCGGCAGUUACCAUAGAGGUGAAGCGCUCAAAUCAGGCGCGAGGGGCCUGUUUAAGACCAUAGAGGGAGCGGCGAAGUCUACAGACCAUACCAUCAGGGGCAUAGUACCCCGGUGGUGGCUGCAUAUAAACCUCCUCACGCAACUCGCCAUUAAAAAAGGCGUUCUGGACAUCAAGUUGAGAGAUAGAUCAAUGACGAACAGAAACCACAACAAGGAGAGUGCGAACAAUGGUCAUGUGGGUCACAGGAGCGAAUGUCUCAUCAUAAUCGCGUCCUUGCUCCUGCUGAAAACCACGAGCCACAAGACGAGCUUUGUAGCGCUCAAGAGAACCAUCGGAGCGAGUCUUAAUCUUGUAGACCCACUUGCAGGUGAUGGGACGAACACCGGAAGGGAGAGAAGCCAAAUCCCAUGUGCCAGAGCGCUCAAGGGCAGCAAGCUCUUCGGGCAUCGCAAGCGGCCAUUUAGGCUGAGUCAUGGCAGUUGUAAGGGCAUAUUUAUCCCCAAGGUGUUUUGGUGAUUGAUGACAAUGCUUUUGUGGACUAAUCAUGUGCGUUGAGAUUUUCAGAGAUUCAUCCUUUGGCACGAGACGAUUCCCUCCCCUUGGUGUUUUAUUCAAGACGGUGCAGCUCCUUCGUUUCUCUGUUGGGGGACUAGUUUCGUAGGAGUCACCGUACUAUCAGGGGGGAUCCGCUUUGAUAAGGCUAGGGUGGAAUCAACACGUACACAUCCUUAUCGCACCUGCUGAUCCUUCCCGCUUCAAUGGAGUUUUCCUUCCCUUCCUGGCUUGCCCUGUUUGGUCCCAGCGGUAGUACCGCGGGCCACAGCGGUAGUACCGCCGAAGCACAACAAGCGGUAGUACCGCUUCUCAGCGAUAGUACCGCUUGAUGUCUUCCGCCGUAGUAUCGAUGUGGCUCCGGGCUACUACCGCCUCGACUCGAGGCCUCGUUUUCUCGUGUCGGGUUCUGCGGCACUAGCUGGGGCAGUAGUGGCGGUAGUAUCGCUCUCGAGCGGUAGUACCGCCCUUACCACCGCGGUAGUACCGCUCUGGGUCCAGGACCUUGCUCCCCUCACGUGCACGGCAGUACCGCUAGGUGGCACGGUAGUACCGCUGGCUCAGCGGUAGUACCGCCCACCCAAGCGGUAGUACCGCUCUCCGCGGGGCUGCUUGGGGGGCCAGUGAUCUCGGCGGCGCGCCAUUGUCGCCGCCUUCUUCUGCAUUGUUGAGUGUCAACUAUAAGUACCAAUCCACCGUCGUCGUCGACAUGCCAGUUGUGGCUUCAUUGUUACCUUGGAGGAAUAAAACCAACGAACCUGAAGAUCUCACCCGCCAUUGUGAAUUGUGAGGCACCUGUAAAUACAAGUUGGGAGCUUAAUUAGGGUGGUAAGGGAGUCAGUAGCGUGCAUCCAGGGGGCUUUGAGGCUCAUUAUGAGAUGAUGAGAUGUGUUGUUCCCCCUGUUUAAAUUUUGUCUGUAAAAGAAACCAUUCUCUGGUUAUUGU
RNAcentral lists this long non-coding RNA (3313 nucleotides) under Triticum aestivum (bread wheat). RNAcentral's name for it is "long non-coding RNA (TAES_LNC012592)". Lineage: Eukaryota; Viridiplantae; Streptophyta; Magnoliopsida; Poales; Poaceae. The record is from RNAcentral.